Molecule: long non-coding RNA, 1324 nt
Filed under: Nicotiana tabacum (common tobacco)
Lineage: Eukaryota; Viridiplantae; Streptophyta; Magnoliopsida; Solanales; Solanaceae
Description: long non-coding RNA (NTAB_LNC000931)
Source: RNAcentral
CAAUACAUACUGAAACCAAAAGAAGCAAAUUCUAAAGUGACAAUUCAAGAUCCCAAAGCUACGAUUUCCCCCAUUUCUUUCUAUUUCUUCACAUUGCAUUACAACAAUUACCAGAUAACAAGGAAGCUACGGUUGGAGUCGCAAUCAAAUGUUCUAUGGAUUACCAAAUUAUUUCUAUCUCUUUUUCUUGAGUUUGCCCCUCUUCUUGAUAACAGUUUGUUUAGCGGGAGACCCUUAUAUAUAUUAUGACUGGACAUUUUCCUACAACAUAACUUCUCCUCUUGGAGUUAAGCAGCAGAGUGAGAUAGAUUGACAUGACUCUGCUUCAACAAAUAUUUCAUACAAAAGUAUACUGCGUAAUAGCAACGGGAUUUUGCGAUUCUAAGGGAGUACGGUGCAAUCUUUCUCAAGAAUAUUCUACGGAUUUUUUCCUACUUCGAUCCGCCGUUAUAUGUUGUCGAAAUUGACGUAUGUUAAAGGUAUUGUCAAGAGAAUCGGCCCAGGUAUGUUAAGGCUAUCACUUCUUUCUUUUGGCAUUAUCUAUACGACACGAACGAAACGAGUAAAUGCACAAUUUCCAUAAAUGACUCUAUUCAUAAAAAUAUUAGGGGUGUCUAUAUUCUUGAUUCCCCAUGUGAAUUAUUAUUAUAUCUUCUGUUCAUGUGUCUUAGAAAAAUACGUAUUUGAUAAAAUUUAUCCGACAUGCAUAUUAUUUUUAUGACAUUCCGAAAAAAUCUUAUUAACGUGUUUCUUAUGCAUUUCAUGCAUUUAUACAUGUACAUUGACCCAUGACCAUAUGGCGUUAUAUACGCGUAUAUCAUAUGUAUAUGGGAUAUGAAAAAAGGUUAUGGUGUUAUCUACGCACCACCACUUGAUCAGCUGGUAUACGUUGAUGAUUUGCCCACAGUGGCCGAAAUGAUAUGAUGGGAUGCCCUCAGAGGCUUGAUGAUGUUAUGAACGCAUAUACCAAUGCAUAGUAUGACAUUUAUAUGCAUAUGCAUGACAUUAUAAAAAUGAAAUGAUUCACAGAGUUAUGCAGACGUACAUGUCGAGUCUUUUACUCCAUAUUUCUCUCAUGUCUAUUAUUUACUAUUUUCAUUCCUUACAUACUCGGUACAUUAUUUGUACCGACGUCCUUUUUGCCUAGGGACGCUGCGUUUCAUGCCCGCAGGUCUCGAUAGAUAGGUCAAGAGUCCUCCAAGUAGGCGAUAAGCUCAGCGGAAGAUGUUGGUACACUCCAUUUAUUCCGGAGUUGCUUAUGUGGUCAGUAUGAUUAGGACAUGUACUAAUUAGUAUGGCGGGGCCCUGUCCCGAUCUUUAUGAC